UGCGAAAGCGUGGGGAGCAAACGGAUUAGAUACCCCGGUAGUCCACGCGUAAACGAUGUCUACUAGCCGUUGGAGGACUUGAUCCUUUAGUGGCGCAGCUAACGCGAUAAGUAGACCGCCUGGGGAGUACGGUCGCAAGAUUAAAACUCAAAUGAAGUGACGGGGGCCCGCACAAGCGGUGGAGCAUGUGGUUUAAUUCGAAGCAACGCGAAGAACCUUACCUACUCUUGACAUCCAGUGAACUUUUAAGAGAUCAAUUGGUGCCUUCGGGAACACUGAGACAGGUGCUGCAUGGCUGUCGUCAGCUCGUGUUGUGAAAUGUUGGGUUAAGUCCCGUAACGAGCGCAACCCUUGUCCUUAGUUACCAUCAUUAAGUUGGGGACUCUAAGGAGACUGCCGGUGACAAACCGGAGGAAGGCGGGGACGACGUCAAGUCAUCAUGGCCCUUACGAGUAGGGCUACACACGUGCUACAAUGGCAUGUACAAGGGGUUGCCAAGCCGCGAGGUGGAGCUAAUCCCAUAAAGCAUGUCGUAGUCCGGAUUGGAGUCUGCAACUCGACUCCAUGAAGUCGGAAUCGCUAGUAAUCGUGAAUCAGAAUGUCACGGUGAAUACGUUCCCGGGCCUUGUACACACCGCCCGUCACACCAUGGGAGUGGGUUGCUCCAGAAGUAGAUAGCUUAACCUUCGGGAGGGCGUUUACCACGGAGUGAUUCAUGACUGGGGUGAAGUCGUAACAAGGUAACCG
This 747-nucleotide ribosomal RNA is filed under the name uncultured bacterium. RNAcentral's name for it is "bacterial SSU rRNA". It matches the Rfam family "Bacterial small subunit ribosomal RNA", at positions 752 to 1502 of the family's 1533-position model. The record is from RNAcentral.